Molecule: ribosomal RNA, 643 nt
Filed under: Gymnosporangium sabinae (birnengitterrost)
Lineage: Eukaryota; Fungi; Basidiomycota; Pucciniomycetes; Pucciniales; Gymnosporangiaceae
Description: eukaryotic LSU rRNA
Rfam family: Eukaryotic large subunit ribosomal RNA
Source: RNAcentral
UAUCAAUAAGCGGAGGAAAAGAAACUAACAAGGAUUCCCCUAGUAACGGCGAGUGAAGAGGGAUCAGCCCAAAUUUGUAAUCUGGCUCUUUCAGGGUCUGAGUUGUAAUUUUGAGAACUGUUUUCUGCUCUGGACCAUGUACAAGUCUGUUGAAAUGCAGCAUCAUUGAAGGUGAGAAUCCUGUUUAUGAUAUGGACUACCAGGGCUUUAUGAUACAGUCUCUAAGAGUCGAGUUGUUUGGGAAUGCAGCUCAAAGUGGGUGGUAAAUUCCAUCUAAGGCUAAAUAUUGGUGAGAGACCGAUAGCAAACAAGUACCGUGAGGGAAAGAUGAAAAGAACUUUGGAAAGAGAGUUAACAGUACGUGAAAUUGUUAAAAGGGAAACAGUUGAAGUUAGACUUGUUGUUGUUGGUUCAGCUCUUUAAGGGUGUUUUCUGAUAAUUAACAAACCAACAUCAAUCUUUGGGUGUUGGAUAAGGGUCAUUGAAAUGUAGCAGUUUUGGCUGUGUUAUAGUCUUUGACUUGGAUACAAUGCUUGGGAUUGAGGAUUGCAGUAAGCCAUUUAUUUGGUGGGACAAUUUAUUGUUCUUCUUACUGARGAUGUUGGUGCAAUAGCUUCAAUUGACCCGUCUUGAAACACGGACC